GACGAACGCUGGCGGCGUGCCUAAUACAUGCAAGUCGAACGCACUCUCGUUUAGAUUGAAGGAGCUUGCUCCUGAUUGAUAAACAUUUGAGUGAGUGGCGGACGGGUGAGUAACACGUGGGUAACCUGCCCUAAAGUGGGGGAUAACAUUUGGAAACAGAUGCUAAUACCGCAUAAAACCUAAACACCGCAUGGUGUAGGGUUGAAAGAUGGUUUCGGCUAUCACUUUAGGAUGGACCCGCGGUGCAUUAGUUAGUUGGUGAGGUAAAGGCUCACCAAGACCGUGAUGCAUAGCCGACCUGAGAGGGUAAUCGGCCACACUGGGACUGAGACACGGCCCAGACUCCUACGGGAGGCAGCAGUAGGGAAUCUUCCACAAUGGACGAAAGUCUGAUGGAGCAACGCCGCGUGAGUGAAGAAGGUUUUCGGAUCGUAAAAACUCUGUUGUUGGAGAAGAAUGUAUCUGAUAGUAACUGAUCAGGUAGUGACGGUAUCCAACCAGAAAG
This 505-nucleotide ribosomal RNA is filed under the name uncultured bacterium. Its description in RNAcentral is "bacterial SSU rRNA". It matches the Rfam family "Bacterial small subunit ribosomal RNA", at positions 28 to 490 of the family's 1533-position model. The record is from RNAcentral.